UGAUUAGUUGUCGCAUUCUGUGAUGGUCUA
This 30-nucleotide non-coding RNA is filed under the name Mus musculus (house mouse). The record is from RNAcentral. Lineage: Eukaryota; Metazoa; Chordata; Mammalia; Rodentia; Muridae.